AAUAGAUACCCAGGUAGUCCACGCCGUAAACGGUGGGCACUAGGUGUGGGCAACAUUCCACGUUGUCCGUGCCGCAGCUAACGCAUUAAGUGCCCCGCCUGGGGAGUACGGCCGCAAGGCUAAAAACUCAAAGGAAUUGACGGGGGCCCGCACAAGCGGUGGAGCAUGUGGCUUAAUUCGAGGCAACGCGAAGAACCUUAUCCUGGGCUUGACAUGCACGGAUUAACGCCUGGAAACAGGCGCCACGCUCUUUGAGUGGAACGUGCACAGGUGCUGCAUGGCUGUCGUCAGCUCGUGCUGUGAAGUGUCGGGUUAAGUCCCUUAACGAGCGAAACCCCUGUCGUUAGUUGCUAACGGGUAAUGCCGAGGACUCUAACGAGACUGCCGGUGUCAAACCGGAGGAAGGUGGGGACGACGUCAAGUCCUCAUGGCCUUUAUGCCCAGGGCUGCACACGUGCUACAAUGGCGCGUACAGAGCGAAGCAAUACCGUAAGGUGGAGCAAAUCGCAAAAACGCGCCCCAGUUCGGA
Molecule: ribosomal RNA, 529 nt
Filed under: uncultured bacterium
Lineage: Bacteria
Description: bacterial SSU rRNA
Rfam family: Bacterial small subunit ribosomal RNA
Source: RNAcentral